RNAcentral lists this ribosomal RNA (594 nucleotides) under Geopora cooperi f. cooperi. Its description in RNAcentral is "partial large subunit ribosomal RNA". It matches the Rfam family "Eukaryotic large subunit ribosomal RNA", at positions 82 to 692 of the family's 3401-position model. The record is from RNAcentral. Lineage: Eukaryota; Fungi; Ascomycota; Pezizomycetes; Pezizales; Pyronemataceae.
AGUAACUGCGAGUGAAGCGGCAAAAGCUCAAAUUUGAAAUCGGUGUGCAUAUAGUACAUCGAGUUGUAAUUUGGAGGGACAACUUCGGGCCGAACCACACCGUAAGUUUUUUGGAACAGGACAUCAUAGAGGGUGAGAAUCCCGUGUCUUGGUGUAGGGUCAAAUGUGAAGUGUCUCCGACGAGUCGAGUUGUUUGGGAAUGCAGCUCAAAAUGGGUGGUAAAUUUCAUCUAAAGCUAAAUAUUGGCGAGAGACCGAUAGCGCACAAGUAGAGUGAUCGAAAGAUGAAAAGCACUUUGAAAAGAGAGUUAAAAAGUACGUGAAAUUGUUGAAAGGGAAGCGCUUGCGACCAGACUUGAUCUUUGGGGAUCAGCCGGGCUUCUGUUCGGUGCCCUCUCCAUUGGUUGGGCCAGCAUCGGUUCCGACGGUGGGAUAAAAGGAGGCGGAAUGUGGCUCCCCUCGGGGAGUGUUAUAGCCACCUUCACAAUGCUACCAGUUGGGACCGAGGACCGCGCUUCGGCUAGGAUGCUGGUGUAAUGGUCUUAAGCGACCCGUCUUGAAACACGGACCAAGGAGUCUAACAUCUAUGCGAGUG